AAUGGCUGGUGUUCUAACGUAGACCCGUAAUCCGGGUUGCGGACAGUGUCUGGUGGGUAGUUUGACUGGGGCGGUCUCCUCCCAAAGAGUAACGGAGGAGCACGAAGGUUGGCUAAUCCUGGUCGGACAUCAGGAGGUUAGUGCAAUGGCAUAAGCCAGCUUGACUGCGAGCGUGACGGCGCGAGCAGGUGCGAAAGCAGGUCAUAGUGAUCCGGUGGUUCUGAAUGGAAGGGCCAUCGCUCAACGGAUAAAAGGUACUCCGGGGAUAACAGGCUGAUACCGCCCAAGAGUUCAUAUCGACGGCGGUGUUUGGCACCUCGAUGUCGGCUCAUCACAUCCUGGGGCUGAAGUAGGUCCCAAGGGUAUGGCUGUUCGCCAUUUAAAGUGGUACGCGAGCUGGGUUUAGAACGUCGUGAGACAGUUCGGUCCCUAUCUGCCGUGGGCGCUGGAGAAUUGAGGGGGGCUGCUCCUAGUACGAGAGGACCGGAGUGGACGCAUCACUGGUGUUCGGGUUGUCAUGCCAAUGGCACU
RNAcentral lists this ribosomal RNA (531 nucleotides) under Enterobacter hormaechei. RNAcentral describes it as "partial 23S ribosomal RNA". It matches the Rfam family "Bacterial large subunit ribosomal RNA", at positions 2209 to 2739 of the family's 2925-position model. The record is from RNAcentral. Lineage: Bacteria; Pseudomonadati; Pseudomonadota; Gammaproteobacteria; Enterobacterales; Enterobacteriaceae.